This 428-nucleotide ribosomal RNA is filed under the name uncultured bacterium. RNAcentral describes it as "bacterial SSU rRNA". It matches the Rfam family "Bacterial small subunit ribosomal RNA", at positions 64 to 507 of the family's 1533-position model. The record is from RNAcentral.
GAACGAUAAAGCGGGGGCAACUCCGUGAGUAAAGUGGCGACCGGGUGAGUAACACGUGACUAACCUGCCCUGAAGUGGGGAAUAACUUCGGGAAACCGAGGCUAAUACCGCAUAACGUCCGCGGGUGCAACUCCUGCGGACCAAAGGAGCAAUUCGCUUUAGGAGGGAGUCGCGGCUGAUUAGCUAGUUGGUGAGGUAACGGCCCACCAAGGCGAUGAUCAGUAGCCGGCCUGAGAGGGCGCACGGCCACACUGGAACUGAAACACGGUCCAGACUCCUACGGGAGGCAGCAGUGGGGAAUUUUGCGCAAUGGGGGAAACCCUGACGCAGCAACGCCGCGUGGAGGAUGAAGCCCCUUGGGGCGUAAACUCCUUUCGACCAAGACGAUAAUGACGGUACUGGUGGAAGAAGCACCGGCUAACUCUGUG